UACGUAGGGGGCUAGCGUUGUCCGGAAUCAUUGGGCGUAAAGAGCGUGUAGGCGGCCCGGUAAGUCCGCUGUAAAAGUCAAAGGCUCAACCUUUGAAUGUCAGUGGAUACUGCCGGGCUAGAGUCCGGAAGAGGCGAGUGGAACUCCUGGUGUAGCGGUGGAAUGCGCAGAUAUCAGGAAGAACACCAACGGCGAAGGCAGCUCGCUAGGACGGUACUGACGCUGAGACGCGAAAGCGUGGUGAGCGAACAGG
RNAcentral lists this ribosomal RNA (253 nucleotides) under uncultured bacterium. RNAcentral describes it as "partial 16S ribosomal RNA". It matches the Rfam family "Bacterial small subunit ribosomal RNA", at positions 524 to 776 of the family's 1533-position model. The record is from RNAcentral.